UAAUCCUAUUUAAAUCAAAAACUGAAGGACAGCAAAAAACAUUGCCCGAUUUAUUCUUUACGAUUCUCUCUCUCUCUCUCUCUGUACACCCUAAUUAAGUCUUAGUUACUGUUUUGUGUGGAAUCACGAUGACAAAAUCAACCACCUGUGAAGAAAACGAAAGGAUGUUGUGCGGCCACUGCGGGGUUAAAACUCCCAUCCGCCGUGAAGGAAACUCCGGCACCGUCAAGACGUGUGAUUGGUGUGGAAAAGUGUUGGCAGAUGAGACUGGAACCGUUGAAGAAUAUAAUGAACUCUUCCUUCGACGUCAAUAUUUCCAAAAAUUGGUUUCUAAAUUCAAAAAGAGAAAGCGACAACGUAUUAGAGAACGUUAAACUGAUGUUAUUGUCUUUAAGCCUUAAUCUUUUGGUGAACGCAACUAUCAGCAGCAGCGAUUGAAAAUUUAAGCUAUUACCACGGCAAAACACAGCAUAAGACAGACGCACUCAUGAAAUAACGCCAGCCUGCUUUUCUUGAUGCUGUGGCUGAUCGCGUGGAUUAAAAAGAACGCUGAAUAUAUUUCAGCGUCACUUCUCAUAUUUUGUACUUUCGGCAGUUCAUUAGCGUCUAUUUUUAUUUUUCGUACUGUUAAAUUUGCUUCAGUUACUCUAUAAUUUUCAGUCUUUUGAAAGCGUUCCUCGGGGGCGAAUUAAGCGUCGACUGAGCGACGUUCAUCAAAAGAACAGAGCUAUAACAAACUGAUUGUAUUUUCUCUUCUUGUUAAGAUUUGUUCAGAUGUACAUAUUUAUUUAUUUA
Molecule: long non-coding RNA, 795 nt
Organism: Raphanus sativus (radish)
Lineage: Eukaryota; Viridiplantae; Streptophyta; Magnoliopsida; Brassicales; Brassicaceae
Exons: 2
Source: RefSeq, a predicted model, not a curated record